RNAcentral lists this transfer RNA (77 nucleotides) under Methylomarinovum caldicuralii. RNAcentral describes it as "tRNA-Pro". It matches the Rfam family "tRNA". From Rfam's summary of the family: Transfer RNA (tRNA) molecules are approximately 80 nucleotides in length. Their secondary structure includes four short double-helical elements and three loops (D, anti-codon, and T loops). Further hydrogen bonds mediate the characteristic L-shaped molecular structure. tRNAs have two regions of fundamental functional importance: the anti-codon, which is responsible for specific mRNA codon recognition, and the 3' end, to which the tRNAs corresponding amino acid is attached (by aminoacyl-tRNA synthetases). tRNAs cope with the degeneracy of the genetic code in two manners: having more than one tRNA (with a specific anti-codon) for a particular amino acid; and 'wobble' base-pairing, i.e. permitting non-standard base-pairing at the 3rd anti-codon position. The record is from RNAcentral. RNAcentral also lists the same sequence under 8 other names. Lineage: Bacteria; Pseudomonadati; Pseudomonadota; Gammaproteobacteria; Methylococcales; Methylothermaceae.
CGGGGUGUAGCUCAGCUUGGUAGAGCGCCGUCUUCGGGAGGCGGAAGUCGCUGGUUCAAAUCCAGUCACCCCGACCA